GAUGAACGCUGGCGGCGUGCCUAAUACAUGCAAGUCGAGCGAACAGACGCGGCGCUUGCGCCUCUGACGUUAGCGACGGACGGGUGAGUAACACGUGGAUAACCUAUCUAUAAGACUGGGAUAACUUCGGGAAACCGGAGCUACUACCGGGAACUAUAUGCACCCGCCUGGUUCAUGGGUAAAAGUCGUUUUUUUGGUCGCAUAUGCAUGGUUCCUCGCCGCUUUAGGUGGUUGGUAAGGUAACGGCUUACACGGGUAACGAUGCGUAGCCGAUCGCCGGGGGUGAUCGGCCACAUUGGAACUGAGACACCGUCAAGACUCCUGCGGGAGGCAGCAGUAGGGAACGGGACGCAGUGGUGGAAAGCCUGGCGGAGCAAGGCCGCGUGAGAGAUGAAGGUCUUCGGAUCGUAAAGCUCUGUUAUUAGUGAAGAACAAAUGUGUGAGUAACUAUGGCCGUCUUGACGGUACCUAAACAGAAAGCCACGGCUAACUACGUG
RNAcentral lists this ribosomal RNA (497 nucleotides) under uncultured bacterium. RNAcentral's name for it is "partial 16S ribosomal RNA". It matches the Rfam family "Bacterial small subunit ribosomal RNA", at positions 28 to 507 of the family's 1533-position model. The record is from RNAcentral.